This is a long non-coding RNA of Salvelinus namaycush (lake trout), 716 nucleotides long. RefSeq lists it as uncharacterized. The record is from RefSeq and is a predicted model, not a curated record. The transcript has 3 exons. Lineage: Eukaryota; Metazoa; Chordata; Actinopteri; Salmoniformes; Salmonidae.
AAUCACAAUCAUCAAGGACACAAAAGUCCCUAACGCCUGCCUCUUCAUGUUGAACUAAGAGGAUCACACACUUGGCAACAUCAUCAGACAACAACUUCUGAAGGACCCCCAGGUGCUCUUUGCUGGCUAUAAGGUCCCUCAUCCUCUGGAGCACAAGAUUGUGAUCCGUGUUCAGACUACACCAGACUACAGUCCUCAGGAGGCUUUCACUAAUGCCAUCACUGACCUCAUCAGUGAGCUGUCCUUGUUGGAGGAGAGAUUUAGGGUUUCAGGUUGUUUCAGGUUAAGGACAAGCAAGAAGGAAUUGAAUGAGGAUUGGUGCAUAAUGUUGGGAAAGAGGAUGUCACUUUGAAGAGUUCUCAAUAUCAUGAACUGUUCCACUUUUCAUUUGACUAGGAUUCUUUAAAAGGACUGUAUUUUAGACUAGGUACAGCAUGGUCCCUGUAUCUAAGUACUGAAUGGAGUUUUCAUUCUAGACCAUGAUAACAUAUUUGCAGGAAUGGAUGUAAUUGUAUCAGUCAAAUAAUCUUAUUUUUCUAACACAGAAACAUUAUAAGGAAACGUGUGAUUUAAAACGGAAAUUCUGAGAUCAUACGGUGGUUUGGUAUAUUCAAAACAGAAGCAUAUGUUGUUAAACUCAUUCGAAUUGUCACGUUCUGACCAUAGUUCUUUUGUGUUUUCUUUGUUUUAGUGUUGGUCAGGACGUGAGCUGAGUG